RNAcentral lists this transfer RNA (71 nucleotides) under Candidatus Lloydbacteria bacterium CG22_combo_CG10-13_8_21_14_all_47_15. Its description in RNAcentral is "tRNA-Gly". It matches the Rfam family "tRNA". From Rfam's summary of the family: Transfer RNA (tRNA) molecules are approximately 80 nucleotides in length. Their secondary structure includes four short double-helical elements and three loops (D, anti-codon, and T loops). Further hydrogen bonds mediate the characteristic L-shaped molecular structure. tRNAs have two regions of fundamental functional importance: the anti-codon, which is responsible for specific mRNA codon recognition, and the 3' end, to which the tRNAs corresponding amino acid is attached (by aminoacyl-tRNA synthetases). tRNAs cope with the degeneracy of the genetic code in two manners: having more than one tRNA (with a specific anti-codon) for a particular amino acid; and 'wobble' base-pairing, i.e. permitting non-standard base-pairing at the 3rd anti-codon position. Lineage: Bacteria; Candidatus Lloydiibacteriota. The record is from RNAcentral.
GCGGAUGUAGUUUAAUGGUAGAAUUUCUGCCUUCCAAGCAGAGGGUGCGGGUUCGAUUCCCGCCAUCCGCA